GCCAUCCGCCUGCUCCUGGAAUACACAGACUCAAGCUACGAGGAAAAGAAGUACACGAUGGGGGAUGCUCCUGACUAUGACAGAAGCCAGUGGCUGAAUGAAAAAUUCAAGCUGGGCCUGGACUUUCCCAAUGUGGGGAGACAGAAGAGGAGAAGAUUCGUGUGGACAUUUUGGAGAACCAGGCUAUGGACGUCUCCAAUCAGCUGGCCAGAGUCUGCUACAGCCCUGACUUUGAGAAACUGAAGCCAGAAUACUUGGAGGGACUUCCUACAAUGAUGCAGCACUUCUCACAGUUCCUGGGGAAGAGGCCAUGGUUCGUUGGAGACAAGAUCACCUUUGUAGAUUUCCUCGCCUAUGAUGUCCUUGACCUCCACCGUAUAUUUGAGCCCAAGUGCUUGGAUGCCUUCCCAAAUCUGAAGGACUUCAUCUCCCACUUUGAGGUGAUGCCCCCAUCCUCCUUUCUCUUUGAUGCCCCUUGUUCCGUUACCUCCUUUCAGAUGCUUUCCCAGUCCUGGGUCUGCAUAAAGAAUAACUUGCAUUUAUUGAGUGCUGGCUUCAUGCCAGGAACCUUGCCCAGCACAUUAUACCUAUCGUGUGGAAUUUGAACUUUACAACGUUCCUACAGGGUGACAGAAUUAUCUUGCCCAUUUAGAG
Molecule: small RNA, 654 nt
Filed under: Pongo abelii (Sumatran orangutan)
Lineage: Eukaryota; Metazoa; Chordata; Mammalia; Primates; Hominidae
Description: processed transcript
Source: RNAcentral